CAAAACCCUUUUUCCUUUAGUUUAACCAGCCAACGUAAUGGUGGGGCCAAUUUAAGGAAGGACUGCCGGUGACAAAACCGGAGGAAAGGUGGGGGAUGAACGUCAAGUCAUUCAUGGGCCCUUACGGCCCUGGGCUACACACGUGCUACAAUGGUUCGGUACAGAGGGUUGCCAAGCCGCGAGGUGGAGCUAAUCCCAUAAAACCGAUCGUAGUCCGGAUCGCAGUCUGCAACUCGACUGCGUGAAGUCGGAAUCGCUAGUAAUCGCGAAUCAGAAUGUCGCGGUGAAUACGUUCCCGGGCCUUGUACACACCGCCCGUUAAUCACUAGUCAUAG
This 335-nucleotide ribosomal RNA is filed under the name uncultured bacterium. RNAcentral describes it as "bacterial SSU rRNA". It matches the Rfam family "Bacterial small subunit ribosomal RNA", at positions 1097 to 1413 of the family's 1533-position model. The record is from RNAcentral.